UCAGUCGGCCGGACGGCCGCUCCGGCAGGUGCCGAAAGGUCGCCGGGGAGGAAAGUCCGGGCUCCCUUGACAUGCGGUGCCGGAUAACGUCCGGCGGGGGCAACCCCAGGGAAAGUGCCACAGAGAACGAACCGCCCGCCGUCGCCCCUUCGGGGCUUUGGCGAGGUAAGGGUGAAAAGGUGCGGUAAGAGCGCACCGCGGCUCCGGCAACGGAGCCGGCAUGGUAAACCCCACCGGGAGCAAAACCGAAUAGGGACGGCUUAAGCGGGCUGUUCGCGAAAGCGAUAACGCCGCGGGGCGAUGUCAGGCCCGCCGUCCGGGUAGGUUGCUCGAGGCCAUGUGCAAACAUGGUCCCAGAGGAAUGGCCGUCACGUAUCGUGCGCGCAAGCGGACGGUGCCCUACAGAACCCGGCUUACAGGCCGGCUGAUAUC
RNAcentral lists this RNase P RNA (432 nucleotides) under Bradyrhizobium sp. AS23.2. Its description in RNAcentral is "bacterial RNase P". It matches the Rfam family "Bacterial RNase P class A". From Rfam's summary of the family: Ribonuclease P (RNase P) is a ubiquitous endoribonuclease, found in archaea, bacteria and eukarya as well as chloroplasts and mitochondria. Its best characterised activity is the generation of mature 5'-ends of tRNAs by cleaving the 5'-leader elements of precursor-tRNAs. Cellular RNase Ps are ribonucleoproteins. Lineage: Bacteria; Pseudomonadati; Pseudomonadota; Alphaproteobacteria; Hyphomicrobiales; Nitrobacteraceae. The record is from RNAcentral.